UCUCCCUUCCUCUUUCUAACCCCCCACCUGCCCACACCCUACUGGCUUCCAUACACCAUCUGGCACAAGACAAGGAGAAAGCUGUCACUCUAAUUUCUUCCUGGAUCCAAGAAGAGGACAACAAAGAAUCCCCAAAAGGAUGCAGGUGAUGAUUUACCCAAGAGGAUACUCCAUCUGUCUGUCCCUAAAGCAUGCUCAACAGUAUAAUUACAUGGUGCUUGCCUGCUGCAAGUUCAAGCUUUGGAUCACUCAGCUAUUUCUUCUUCUCUUGGGGAAUCCUAGAAGGAUGCAAUGAAGGAAACAGCACUCUCCUGCUGUUGAAGCCCUGCAUCCAGUAUUCAGAGGUAUACUAAACCUCUGAACUUGGCUAUUAUAAUGAGUAGUUGUUAUAUUAUUUUAUUGCCUCAUUUGCCACCUUUCUGUUAGUGAAUGACACUUCUGCUUGCUAUCAACAACAUUCAAAACAAAUUAUAAACAAAUGAGAUGAUGAAAUAAUUAAAGUAUCACCACAAAGUCAUUUAAAUCACAAUAAUAAUAAAAACGGUUUAAAGGACCUAUUUGAAGAAACAGAUCUUUCUUCAAUAAAUCCAACUAUAUCUUUAAAACUAUUUUACUUAGUAAUAGCCUCUCUAGAUCGUGGGUCAAUGCCUCAAUUUCUCCCUACAGCAUUGAGUCAACAUUUCUCAUAAUAAAACAUUUGCCAUUAUUUAUGUAAUUCAGAAUAAGUUUAGAUAGUGAUUACUAUACAACAGUUUUGCUGGAUCAAAGCAAAGGUGCCUCAUUUUUAGCAGAUUCUAUUGCAAAACCAGAUGUCACUAGGAAGCUCAUUAGCAAAAUAUCAGGGCCAUGUUCCUCUUCCACUAGAUUUUUUUUAAAAAGUGAUCUAUGCUAGCAUUGUUGUUACUGGAUGCCCUCAGAGCACAUGAAUUCUUACAUGUUCUGAGCAUGUAUGGCAAUGAUUGAACUGGUGAUCUUGCUAAUAUAUAUGUCUUAAGCCAGUGGUUCUCAACCUGUGGGUCCCCAGAUGUUUUGGCCUACAACUCCCAGAAAUCCCAGUUUACCAGAUGUUAGUAUUUCUGGGAGUUGAAAGCCAAAACAUCUGAGGACCCAUAGGUUGAGAAUCACUGUCUUAGGCAAAUUGGAUUCAGUAAACCAUAUUCACACAGAGCUCUUAAAGAGGUAUUUUGUUGAACAUACAGUAAUCAAUAAACACAAUAAUUGCAUGGGGUGGUGGGGUGGGGGAAUAGCAGAUAUUGUAGUAGAACUCCAUAAAUGGCAAAUAGUGUAUGCAGAAUACAUACAAGCAUCAGCACCGUUUCUUUAAGAUGAGAAAAUACUGACUCCCAGUGAGCAAAUUUGCAAGUUUGAGGGUUUACAAUUUAGCAAUGUGAAGCUUUAAAUGUUGCUAAGUGAAGGGAUUGGAGAGAGAAAGAAAGAGGUUGAAGAGUAAGAACAAUGCAAUACCAUCCCAAGACCUCACACAAAAACACCAAAGAACGAGGAGAAAAAUGGGAAGACCCUGGAAAUGAGAAUAGAUAUCCCCCCGCCCCCCCACACACACACACACUGCCAGAUGGAUUUUAGAGAUUUAAAAAGAUACUUCUCUUUGGUCUUGUUGAACCUUCCUUGGAAAAAAUCCAGGGAGCUUUGUGUGGAACAAUUUAUAGAAAAGAAGAACGUGCUAACCAAAUUCCUCUAAACCAAAGUCAGGCCUUUGAAAAAGAAAGUGAGCUAAUGAAAUGAUCUGCUCAAAAUCCCAGAUUCUUUGAGGGAGGGGGCUGAAAGAGUUAUUUCAUCUUAAAAGGAUCCAAGGUUUAGCUGCAAUUUCAGAAAUGGGCUUUCAGAUAGAGGAGGUAGAUCAGGGAUUUUGGUUUAUGUUUGAAGUACACUCCACUCCCAGAACCAGCAGCCUUUGAAUUUGUGAUGCUUUUAAAACAUCUCCAAAAUAAAAGUCCGUAAGGCUUGUACUGUCUCAGGAUAUUUCCUCACCUAAGACACAGUACUAUGUUAUCCUUGCUAGCAAAGAGAGAAGUGUCAAACUGAUCACCCUGUGUCGCAGAAGUGAUAUCCCUUUUCCCUAAUGCAUUUCCUGACUAUAAUGCUUUGUUUACUGACUGUAGGGCAACAUGCUGGGACAGAGAGAACCUUUUCAGAAGGUAUUUGGUUUUUCAAUAAUUCUUAGUACACCUGGUAGUUAUAAAUAAUGGCAUUCAGUAAAGAUAUUAGCUAUCAGUUUGAAAUGGAGAGGCUUUCUAAUUAUCCCUUUCCUUCUUCAGCCAGAUAACCAAAAAGGUUCCAUUUUACAAUGUAUAGUGUUCCCUCACUUAUCAAGGGAGUUACAUUCCAGGACCACCUGCAAUAAGUUAAAAUCCAUGAAGUAGGGACACUAUAUUUAUUUUAAUAUUUAUACAUUAUUUUAGUAGUUAUACACUAUUUUAAGUCUUUAUCAACCAAUUGUGUGUUGAUAAAUUGCCUCCUUCUUCUCCCGUUGCCACUUGGGCUCCUUUUCUCUCCCUUUGGUUUCUCCUUCCUCCCCUCCUUACGCUGUAAAUUGUAAUUUUUUAUGAUUUAUAAUAUUCUUUUAGAGUUUAUUGAAAAACCGCAAAACAGUGAAUCCAUGAAAAGUGAACCGCUAUAUACAUGGCAGGGUGGGGGGGGGGGGGGUUGCAUAGUGUUGACUAUUCCCUAAUAUAAUGCAUACAAUCAGUAUGACUGAAAGUCAUUAUUCCAUGAAUUGUCUAUUCUUUUAAAACUAUCUAACAAAAGGUACAUCACCAAAUACAAUUUUAAAACUCAAGAUGGAUGCAGGACUACACCUACAAUUGUACAGAUAAUGGCAACUGAAAGGAAGAUUUACAUUAGACAGGAAAAAUAUUCGAUUUGAAAGAGAACAAUCAAAAUUUGAAAAGGAAUCAUGUACUAAUGAAGAACACCUUAUUGGAAAAAUAUAUAAAGCAUUACUGAGGAUGGAGCCAGAACUGUAAAGGAAUGUAUGAUUACGUGGCCACAACAUGUUGGACACAACAAAGAAUUACAUAAAUAAGGAAAAUGUGGACCGUUGCGUUAAAGAAAAAAUUGUGCUGUGACCGUAGAGAAAAUUAACAAAUGGUACUUGAUCUCAGCAAAGCUUGCUAAAAUAUAUAAGGAAAGAAACACCAAGUGUUGGAGAUGUAACGAUCAAGAAGAAGAAGAAAAAAACUUUAUUUAUAACCCACCUUAUCUUCCUGAGGGGACUCAGGGCGGUUUCCAACAAAAGAUGGCAAACAUUCAGUGCCAUAAUAAACAAUAGAAACAAAACAUGAUGAAACUUUCUACCACAUGUAGUAGUCUUGUAAAAAAGCAAGGGAAUUCUGGGACAAGGUACAUAAAAAAACACUAAAGGACAAAGAUAUAAUUAGAGCCUGAAUUAUUUUUAUAGGGAAUGUUAAAUAAGCAAACAAAAUACGUGAUAGUUGCAGCAUGGAUGCCAUAUGCACAACAUUGGAAAAAGUCAUACCUGCAGACAAUAAAAUAAUGGCUUGUAUACAUUUUUAGAAUAUCAUAAAUUAAUAAAUUGGCAAUGACAAAGAAAGAAAAAACAAAAAUCCUUUAUCAAAAGCUUGGAACCAUUUUUACAUUUUGUAAAAAAAUGAAAGAAAGGGGAAAAAGUUUUUAUAGAAGAUUUCUAACUUGUGUAUGGAAUCUAUAAAUAAUAACUAUUAUGCUAGACUUAAGUAUUGAAAAAUAUUAUAAUAGGAAGGAAGAACAAAAUUGUACUAUAUCUAGCCGAAAGGAUGGGAAGUCACCAUAACAGGAUGGAUGGGAUUCCCUCCAAUGAUCAUCAAGUAAAAUUGCUGUAUAGAUGUUAGGAAAUAUUGCAUUGGUUCAUGUGUACCACACACAUAAAUGUGUGCAUAGAUUUUUAUUCUAUUUGAUAGAUAUGCAAAUUUAAAAAUAAAAAGAUAAAAAAGCCCAUCACCAGGUUUCAUGGCAGCAAAUAUUUAUGUUUUGCCAUUCUGUGAAGAAUGAAUGUUCCUCCAGCUCUGAACUUUGUUCUUGCUAUGUAUAGUUUUUUAAACUUUUAUCAUAUCAAUAAAAAGCCACAAGCACUUCUAUCUUUCGUAAUGGAAAUCACCCUGUUUUUGAUAUUUUAUUUCUGUACCUUUUAUGGCUUUAUGAAAUGUCUUCCGUAAUAGGUCAACUAGAACUGUACAAAGUAUUCCAUAUGUGGUGGUGCCAUGGAUUUGUGUAAGUGGUUUUUUCUGAUGCAUUUCAAGUUCAGGGAGAUUAUAGAGAGAAACUGUCUUUAAGUCCAACAACCUACCAUUGAAUUCUAGCCAAUGCUAUUCACUUUGUAAAGAAAUAUUAUAUUUGAAUGGUUAUAACAGAAUCAAUGGAAUUUCAGAUAAGUGUUGACUUACCAUGGUUCUUACAAAUUUGGAGUUAUUGGAUUUGAGCCAUAAUUAUUAUUGAAGCAUUGUGCUGAUACCUAUUUGACACCUUUCCUUUUUAAUUUCAUUUGCUAAACACUUUGCUGUCUUUUUUUUAAAAAAAUCCUGCUCAGUAACCAGCAUGAACAGCAUGGGCCUAUUAUUCUCAUGUAUAAGGUACAGAACUAAAAUUGUUAGAAAGGAAGUGAGAUGGCUCAAGACAGAAUCAUGAUUCUGUUGCAGAAGUGGAUCAUGUCCCCAGGCUUAAAAAUACAAAUGACUGGACUAGAUCUUUGCACUCCAUGGGUAAGCUUUUGUUCAAUCUUUAAUUAAUAGAUCUUGCCUCAUACUCUCAAGCCUCAUUUUAGUCCUAUUUGUGUAUUAAGCCUGAAUAGGGCACAUUUAAUGGGUGGGUAAAAACAUGGAGCCAUACUUGCACCCUCUCAGUUCCUGAUUUUUCAGAAUUAAACAUUGUGUGAACAUGUGCUUGCAUUUCCUUGAAUGCAUGCAAAACUCCUUUUGUAAUCAGGUACGCCCAUGAAGCAAGGUUCAUGAGCAUGCUGAAGUUCUUCUCAUGUUUGACAAUAUAAUUCCUGUUCAAAAUUCAGGAAUUGACAGGGUGGGGCCAUAGCCCACUUGACACACGGUCCCUACUCAUGCCCCUACUCAUGCAUUUGUGUGCUCUGUUUAAGCAUAAUGCCUAAAUAGGGCUUCUCUAAUUUGCAAAAAAUAUGGUAAGCCUGUAACCCAGAUGCAGAGUUCUCUGACAUCAAAGAUGCAAAGAAAAUAAUAGAGGCAAGCCAUCAUUAAGCGGCAGCUCCCACUGAACCUUAACUAGAAACAUCAUACUGAGGGACAAUAAUGUUGUGAGACUAUUAAGUCAAAGGCUAUGCUCAAAAAGGAUAAGAAAAUAUAGGCUUGGAAGGAGAUGAGCCUCAUGCGUCCAAUGCAGCAUUUCAAGUUCUAUUUGCAUUUCUAAUAAUAUCCUCAGAACAAGCAUGAAUAUGUAGCUUUGCAGGCACGUUCUAUGUGGAGAGAACAGAGUGGGUUCAGUUCAGUGGUGAGAUGAGAUUCAUCAGAGCAGGCAAACAUGUGGCAAUUCUAAGUGGGAGGGUGAAACACAGACAAGAGAAUCGUGAAGCUGAUUCAUUUGGUGAAGCCCAAUUACUUUGAGAGAAAUGGAUGAAGUCCAGAGAAUAGUCUGAAUGAGAAGGGGCAACUGCUCAGGGAUAUAAGGUAUAGUUUAUAUGCAGAGGUUCCCAGGAUCAAGUUCAGGUGUCACUAGUUAACCAAAGGUAUGUGGCAGCCGUCUUGUUAAGGCUAAUCCUCUUUGUGAUGUGGAAUCAGUGCCCAAAAGCAUCACUGAAUCACAGGUACACUAUCUUGAAUUUGCCAUUUAUUUUAAAGGGUUCAUUUUUUUGUAUUACUAGAAAAGUGCAUUUUACUCAUCUUGGCAGAUGUUUGUAAUUAUUUAAGAUUUAUAGACUGCUCAAUUCAAUAAAGCAUAAAGUAGUUUAUUAUGAUUUAAUCAAGCUUGUGCUCUUAACCAGGAACAGUAUCCUGAUGAAUAUAUGGAAUAAUAUCAGGGAUGUGAAUUUUCUCUGUUGCACUCAAGGAAAAAAAAAUUCUCCUCAGAAGAAAUUAUAAAACAAAAUAGUGCAUGUUUCCAGUGAAUGCUCACAUUUGAAGAUUUUCUUACAAAAUCAACAGCAAAACAGGCCUCUAUUGUACAGGGUGUCAGAUGGAUGCUAAGGUAUGUUUGGGACAUUUUUGAACAUGCUAAUAGUACCACAGUCAUAAACAUGACUACCAAACAAAUGUGUAAAUAAGCAUAAACAUCUGUAACUGCUCAACAGGAUGCUAGCCGUGGUGGGAUUUCUUCACAGAACUUUCACCAAAAAUCCCAAGGCUGAUGAUGAUUUUCUGGAAAAAGAUGCCAUGGUGUGGUAAAAGACACCCUGUUCUUGUUGAGGACAAAAAGAAAAAAGAGAUGGAAGAUUUUUUUUUUAUCUCUGUAGAUUCUAUAUAGGAAAGUGAGUGUCCAUCCCUCUCCUGUAUUGAGUGUGAAAAUCAAGUGGGCAGAGAGAAAAGGUAGGCCACCUCCUCUGCAGUCCACAUAGAACAUACAGCUGAAGCAUCUAGCCCUCUUCUGCCAUCAGGUGACCAAAAAAUACUACAUGCUAGCAACAUUUGUGAGUUUAUUAGCACAGGUGCUUCAAUGCCAGGAGAAUUAAAUUAAGACAGAUUGUAAUGACAUUUGAAGUCCUCUACUAUUACUCAAUCUAAUUACCACCUAUACUUAUGGUCUGCUGAAACGUGCAUGGCUUUUCACUUUGGUGAAUUUUUAGGAUAAAUAAAUUAUUUACCUUUGAAGAAGGAGGAAUAUCCUAUCAGACCAAUAAUGUGUGGCUGUUCUGAUGUCAGUGGAACUUUAAAGGAACUAUCCAAAGUGUAUAGUUGAGAAGUUAGGGUUCUGCACCUGUAAAUAUGGCCAAAUACUUUGGAUGAAUUCAAAGCUCAUAGACGUGAAAGCUUCCAGGUGCCACUGAAUUAAAAUGAUUUCCUCUGCCUUCAUUGCUUCUGAUUGUGGUUCUUAGUUUUCUAAGAUCUACAGAGAUACUCACAGGAACACCUCAGCAAGCGAGUGUGCAAAAGUGGCAGGCUAAAAUCCAGAACUUCAAUCAGUGGCUGACGCUGGAUGAGAGACCCCCCCCCCCCCCCUAAGCACACAGAAGACUGGGCGACUUGGAAGGCACUGAACAGACUGCGCUCUGGCAUUCCCAGGGAGAUCACACUGGCAGCCUUUAAGAAAGACUUAAAAACCUGGCUCUUCCAGUGUGCCUUCAACAACUGAUCACAAGAAUAACCUCCUCAGCAUUGGUAUUAUCGGGCCUGAUGUACCGUUUCCUGCCCUUAUUUGGUAAUUUCUUUCCUCGUCUAUCCCACCCUUAAUUCUCCUCUUUACUACAGCACUUUUAUCUACUUCAUCAGAUUUUAAUCAUGUACUCCUCGCUCUACUGCCCAGCCUUUUACUAUUAUAACCUACUGUAUUGUUUUUAUUUGGUGGUUUUACCAUUAUAUAGUUGUUGAAAUGUUGGUUUAAUUGUGUAAUGUUAAAUGUCAGUGAUGUCUGUUUUAUUUUGAAUGCAUUUUAUCUUAUUUAUUGUGGAAAUUUGGGCUUAGCCCCAUGUUAGCCGCCCCGAGUAGUUGCGGGUAGAUGGAGGCGGGGUACAAAAAUAAAGUUAUCAUCAUCAUCAUCAUCAUCAUCAUCAUCAUCAUCAUCAUGAGAUGCAGAGCCAACCUUAAGAAAUAGGGCUACAAAGUGGAGUCCAUGACAUGCAAGUGUGGAGAAGAGCAAACCACAGACCACCUACUACAAUGGAGUCUGUACUUCUGGUCCCAAGCACAGAUAUGGGACAAUCAACCUGUAGUAUGAUUGGCAUGGUGGCAACAUUCUCCCUAAGUGAAAUGGGGACAGGAGUAGUCAGUCACUAGAAUAAAAAACUCCAGUGCAUAGGGCAUUCAUCUUGUGAUAGUGCCUUGGAGUCAGUUAUGAUCUGAAAUAGCUUCUAACUACUGGCUAAGAGAUGAAAGUUUUCGAAUCUGAUUACCAGACUACUGAGCCAUUCAUGUUUACUAUAGAAUGUACCUAAAUAUGUAUAUGUAUUUCUGGUUAAGAUAAAUACAUUGAAAAUGGUCACACUUAGAUUUAUUAUUCUUCCUCAUCCUGGCAUUUGGGACAUUGUUAUUUUAGACAUAUUAACCAUGGUGAGAGUGAAAAGGUCACAAAUCAGCAUGGAGCCAAAAAAAGCCAUCUAUGUCCCAAACGCCACUUCCACACAGAUCAGUUCACAAACUAUGAGCUGCUAUAAAGGGGAAAAUACUAGAAAUAAAAACCUGAUCAACUGUCAAUGAGUCUUAGAAAUCAAUUUCAAGUCUGCCAUCUUGUAAAGGGAUGGCCUACAGUUCAAUGGUAGAACACAAAACUUUGCCUAUGAUCAUGUUUACAGUUCCGGCUUCAAUCUCUAGGAAGGCCAUUCAAGUAAUCAGACAGCUUCUACUUCACUGCAGUUAAGAUUCACAGUGGUUUGACUGUAGACUGAAAACCAAACCUCAGAAACAUCAGGCAAGAAUUCAUUCAUGAUUCUACCAUUACCUCUGAUGUAAAGCUCUAGUAAAAUUAUACAAUAAGUGGAGAAGCUUUGGCUCCCUGGAAAUUUUAGUCUACAAUAGCCCACAAUAGCAUGGCCAGCCAUGGUGUAGGAUCAGGAGAAACAAAGCUUCCCCAGCCAAGAGUGGGAGGAAUUUGUCCCUUCAGUUGUUUUAGACAAGAGUUCCUACAAUCCGUUAUUAUUUGCCAUGGUGGCAGGGACUGACUGGCGUCGAUUCUAAAACAUGGCAAAGGCUACAGUUUCUGUACCCCAAACUAGAUCACCAGUUCAAGCAAUGGGAAUGUAACUUGAGUUGUAAUAGAUAAAAUACAGAUUGUAUGGCAAGGGCAUUCCUCUACAAAAUGGCUUUUGCCCUCUCUCUUGCUCACUCUCUUUUUUUCUCUCUCCCUCUCCUUCUCUCUCACUCUCCCCCCAGCUUGUUUGGACAUCCACUGUAGAUGUAUCUUCAUCUAACUUUAGUAUUAGAUACCGGACCUAAAAUUUCUAUUCUGUUAUGUGAAUGAUCUAAGUUGGGUUUGGUUUGCAAAGUGAUAUCAAACUGCCAGUCAGGAUGGUUGGUAAUAGAACUAGCACUGUUUUUCAGUCAGUUUCUACAGAGCAGUUUUAUGCUCUAGUAGCUAAGACUUCUAGCCAUACUGUAUAUUUGAUUCUUGGUGGAUUUGAUUCACAGGGGAUCUUCUCUUAGUGCCCCACAAACGCUCACCUAGGCAUUAUCCUGAAGGCAUUUCUUUUUGUCCAGGUCAUUCUCUUAUGGCUGUCAAGCUGCAGUGAUGGCAAAUAAGCAUGUGUCUGCACUGCUGGAGUUUCCUGCUUCUGGACUUAGAGAAGAUGUCUUAACAGAGAUCUAUAGCCUAAACAGAGAUAACAGUACAGGCAAUCUCCAAGUUACAAACAAAAUAGGUUCUAUUGGUUUGCUCUUAAGUUGAAUUUGUAUAUAGGUCUGAACAAGUACCCGUGUGUGUUUUAGAUAGCAUAGGGAAGGGUAAACACUCCUGUGGUGUUUGUUUUGCUGUUUGUGCCCCUGUUCAAAAGAUUUCACUUCACUUUCCCUAUAAUAAUGGGGAAAAAUUGAAAAAUGUGGCUUGUUGUGGAAACAAGAAAUGAUGAUAAAGCUUCCGGGAGGUAACCUUGAUAUUUCUUACAGGAGUAAAUUUCCCUUCCUAGGAGUAGAUUUCUCUCACUUCCUGUUGUCUCACUCCUGUUUUUAUAAGUCAGAUGGUUGCAACUCGGGACUGUCUGCAGUGUGGUCUAGGACAAUCCCAUGCAAACAUAAUUAUUUUAUAACAGAAUGAUAGCAUAGCAAAAUACCUUCAUCUUUAAUGCAGGUGACAGCAUAUCACUGAGGAUUGGGAGAUUACAAUAUUUAAGUAUUGCUUUAUAAACUGUUUUGUUUAAUUCAUAGGUUGACGGAUGACUUGCAGGUACAUACGUACACCUGGAGUGUUUAGAACAACAAAAUAUAUUGUGUGGCUCAUCAGAAGUGUCAAACUGUAAUUCCCAGAAUUCCUCACCAUUGCCAGAUGAGGCUCCUGGGAGUUACAGUUCAUCAACACCUGGACGGCUGCACAGUUCUCAUCUCUGGUAUCUGUAUAAUAUAAUUGCAAUCUGGGCCAGGUGUACUGGCAUUAUGAGUCAACUAGGAAAAUUAAACUGAUUAUGUGGUGCAAUACAGUAUAAACAGCUUGAGAAUAGAUAAUUAUGAGCAAGGGAAUAACUCACCCAUAAUCCAUGAAAGCAAUUUCAGGUACCAAGGUUCCAACUACAGUGUUAAGAACCUGCAGAGAUAGACUUUCAAUACCACAGCAGGAUUGUCAAGGACAGAUGGUUACAUACAGGUAGGAUAUGAAAUAUUACCUCAUCACAUGGGGGGACUCCCCCUGUACAGUUUUGCCAGCCUCCAUGAAGAAAUGGCAGGGAUGAGGGGUGACUAUGUCACUAUAAUUGCAGUGACUCUUAAAAGAUCACAUAGGGGAAGCAUUGCCAAAGCAUCAUGGAUCUGUGGAGUCCAGCACAACACAGGAAGUCUCCCAUGUUGCAAGGGAAGCAUCAUAUGACACUUUCACUCCAGUUGUGGGUGGGGCCUUUGCCAGAGGUCCAGAGACAUCAUGUGAUGGGCAGUGUAUCCAUCUGUUGCUGGAUUAGCAGAGAAAAAGCCUAGGACUCUAAAAAAAACAAAAACACAACUCCAUGUGAUUAGAUCAUUCAAAGUAGCUCAGUUGGGAGAAUGUUAGGAAGACCAUCCGAAGAUCCCUAAUUUCAUCAAAGGACCCAUCCAGACAGGGUACAAAAUGCCCACCCUCCUGGAUAUUUGCAGGGCGUGUCCAAAGAAGCUCCACAAAAACACGAAUGCUUUCGGCACAUAGCAGGAAAACCCUGCUUUGUGCCAAAGUAAUUUGAUAGUGGGUUUGAUCCGCACCUUCUUGAAAGGCAUGGUCAAACCCACUAUGGCUGCUGUUUGGACUGCACCCUCAGAAGUCCUGGACUUGUGAGUGGGAAGUCCAGACUUCUCUAUUGCAUUUUCCAGGCUGAUUCAGCCUGGAAAAGUGUGAGGGCAUCAACCUGCUCCCCUGCUACACAUCAGGAGAGGGCUGGCAACAGGGAAAUGCUGGCCCCGUAAGUUAUUUUAUUUUAUUAAAGUCUUUUUUGGCAGGUGGUUCGGGUGUUUUCCUGUCUCCUGGAAGAUACUGGGAGGACAUCUAGACACCCCCUGCAAAGAAGCGUGGGCUUUUGGGGCCUGUGUGCAGACUACAGUCUGCCCUGACCUUGCUUUCUUAAACCCGAAUCGGGAUGGAGAUUUCCGCUGAAUGGAAUUGCCCUAAGACUUUUUGAAAAUGGCCAGAUUUGUUACAGGGAGUUUCACACUACCAAGGUUAGAAUUCAAAGAUUAGUAGCUGAACUGCAUUUUGAAAUUCCAAGUACUCCAUUCAAAGCAGGCAUGAAUUUAGCCCCCUUUUCCAGUUUCAGUUUUCAAUAUUCAGUUUCUCCAGAAAUUCAUGUCUGUUUUUCAAUGCUACUGUCAUGUGGUGGUUUCCUAGCUUGUGUAGGUGUUUUUUCCAAUUGUAAUGAAAACAUUAGUUAUUAACAACAAGAGCUUUAAAUUAACAUAUGAUAUUUAAGGUCUCCAUUCUUUUUUCUAACCCAGCAGUUGAAGGAAACCUCUGAGGGCUUUUUAAAAAGUGAAUUUAGUUUUUGGGCUGAAAGAGGUUUCUCACUCUUGACUAUUGACCUUAUCAAAUGGGGUAAAUUUCAUGGCAAUGCUGGUUCCUCUUUAGUUUUGCAACAGAGCCCAAUGGCUCCCAUCCCAGGAUGUACAGUUACUUCUGGCAGGGCUCCGUUGCAAAACUAAAGAGAACCCAACAUAUGCCACCAUGUAGAGCCGGCCCUAGGUAUUUUUCAAGUGUAGGCGAACAGAAUUUUGGUGCCCCCCCAAAAACCAAUCACUGAAAAAUAAAAGCGUUGGAUAAGCGAAAAUGUUGGAUAAUAAGGAGGGAUUAAGGAAAAGCCUAUUAAACAUCAAAUUACAUUAAGAUUUUACGAAUUAAGCACCAAAACAUCAUGUUUUACAAGAAAUCAACAGAAAAAGCAGUCUCGACUGCGCCCCCGUAUGUUUUACGCCUGAAGCGAUCGCUUAAUUUGCCUCAUUGUUGGACCGGCCCUGCCACCAUGGCAGUAACACAUGAAGCUUCCUGUGUUACAUUGAGAUCAACAGGGGGAAGACAGGUAGCAAACACUUCCCCAUGUGGAAUGAGGUAGGGAGGAAGCUAGGCAAUGCAGGGCAUGAGGUGAUAGGUUUCAUCUGCCAGGCACUGCUGGAUUUGCCAUGAUCUGUGGUGAUUCUGGAGGCACAUAUGAUGAGGUCCCAGGUGAGACAUUGACAUGAAAACAUGGAGAGUCAUAUUUCAGUCAAAACAGACAAGACUGGUUAGGUGGACUGGCAAUACAAAGCCUCAUAUAUCCUUAUUAUGAAAGUAGCUAAGGCACACCUCUAAAAAUAGUCGUACUUUCUUUCACAGAAAGAACCCCUGCCUAGCAUACAUAGUAUAUCUAGAAGAAAAUGUCUACCUUUCUCUUAGAGGUGAUGAUUUUCUAUAUGUAUAUUUCCUCUUGUAUGGGAGAGCAUUCAAACAGAAGAUUCCCAUUGGAGAGUUUCCAUUUCAUUUUGAGAGCUUCCAUAUCUAGACAACAGUGUCCCAUUGCAUCAGCCCAUUCCAGGAAUUAAUAUAUUUCAUGCAAUCAGAAUUGCAAGAAGGGGGAUAGGAGUGAGGAUGGUACUAGCUCGGUCCUUCCCUCACUUUCCCUUCUCUUAUGAAUGGUGGCUUUUUGAAGCAGGAUUUGACUUUGGCAUGGGUCCAUGGGGUAUGGAUUUUUUUUUGGAAUUUGUAGCAUUAAGUACUUAAAUUUUUUUAGAGAAUCUGACUGCUGGAGUGCACUUGAGCUUUCUAGCAAGACUUCUGAGUACCUCAUCAAACUAAAAAUUCCUAGAUUCUGUAGGAUGAAUCCACUUAAAAUGAUCUCAGUCUGUUGUAAGUAUUAUUAGCAUCCUGGGUAAAUCCAUUCUGCACAAUUAUAGCAGUUUGAUACCUCUUUAAAUAUCACUUCCAUCUACAGAAUUCUGGGAUUUGUAAUUUGCUUGUCUAGUGUACUUUCUUGAAUUACAGCAAAAGAGAUCUCUGGUAGACAAUUAUGAGUAGUACCCCAUGAGACUGCAAAUCCCAGAAUUGCAUAUGAUGGGACCAUGGCAAUUAAAGUGUUACCAAAAUAUAAUAUGGAUACAUUCCAGGAGACAGCUAGUCUUACUGCAAAUAGUUCAGUGUAAGUACAGAUGGUGGAUUCAGUUCUCCCAAUUGUCUUGGAGAUUUAGAACAGCUGAAGGGGACUCUGUCAAUUUCAUAAAUGACUAUUUCCUGCGAAAAAGUGGAUAUAAAUCUGACUAGCCCAUUGCAGACAAAGUGACCAGCAUGCCAUGGUUCCUAGAUUACAGCAUUCUUAUCAGAGCAAUUAAUUUCACCCUGCAUCCCUCUCCUCUCACUUUCUUGUUUUCUCUCUGGCUGAAAUUCGCUCAGCUGUCACUGGUCCCAUCUAUCACUGGGAUACAUCUGUACCCAUUGACUCAGAAAGGACCCACUUCCACUGAGUCUUUGCUCCACAUAUUGUCACAGCCCUGAGGAACAAUCUGUUACAAACAUAAAUCUGGUGGGUUUUUUCAUUAGAUCAUUUAUCACAUGGAGCAGAGUUUAAAUUUAUCCAAAAUGCUCCCACGAGUAAAAUUUCUCUCAGAUUCUGACUCAUUGUGUUUUACAUUUUUUUAAAUAGGAAAAAAACCCACCAGCUUCAGAAAGCAGCAGAACUGGCAUUCAAACUGCAUUCAGAAAGACACAGAUUAGUGGACUGUUUUUGAUGGUUGGAGGCAUUUUAGAUCAAACGAGCUGCGACACCUUUGCCAAACCAAUGGACAAAACUUACAUAAUUCUUCACAGGAAGGAUGGGAAUUUAGAAGCGAAGCACGAGGCAGUUCUUUGGCAAACUAUAGUGGUUUCAGGAUGAUAGUGGCAUGGGUCAAGGCUCAGCAUGCUGACAGGAUUAAGAAGUAUCAAGGAACAUCUGGUAUUUUUCUUUGGUCUUGAGAGGUUUGUUGAGGCACAUUAAAGCUGUACCUGUCUCCAUGCACAGAUGUCUGGAUACAUCUCAGAUGUCUCUUCAGCUUUUGCAGAUUUCACUGGGGUAGCAAAAGAGCAAAAGGGAUUUUGCCAGAAAUAUCAGAGGUCUGCCUUUGAGACUGCAGAUAAGAGAUAACUGUCAAAAGUAGUACCCAUUGAUAGUCUCAUUCUCCAUGAAUGUAGGGGUCAUGGUACUAUAUAGGAUAUAGCAGGAGGGCAUUUUUCAAGAGGAGGGAAUAAGACUCAGUUAAACCCAAUGACACAUUCUAGGAUUCUGUCAAAGCUGCAAGGAAAGCUAUGCAUUUUAGAACAAUAUCUUAUGUUAGCUUACUCCUUUUUAAGGACUAGCUCAUGUAUCCAGUGUUGCCCAGGCAUGCAUAUUCUAAUGCUAUUAAUUGAAAUUACUCAUUAUUAGUUUUACAAUUUUAUCAAUGAUCUCAUUUAAAAUGUAUACCAGUAUAAUGAGACCUUUUAUAAAACCAAAUAGUUGGUGGGUUGGAAUUCCCAUUAGCCCAAGCCCUGGUGAGGCCGCAAAUCCCAACAACCCCAGGUGUGGUCAUUGUGAGAGGGUGCAAUUCUCAUCAGCCCCAGAUCUGACCAGCUUGAAAUGUCAUCAGGCUGUGUUGCAACCGUCAAUGACACAGGUCUCUGAAUGUGGCUGGACCCCAACUCCCAUCAUCCUGAAUCAGGCUGUGUUCUAAACCCUGCCAGUUUUUAAACAUGGAUCAUGAAGUUUGGUACAGAUCUUUCGUGAGUGCGAUUUACAUGGCUGUCUGGAUGUGGCUGGAUUACAAUGCCCAUAAUCCUCGAUCAGCCCCCACCCACAUCCCACCAAUAGUUUAAAAUGGACUAUGAUGGGUACCAAGUUUGGAAGAGAUCCAUUCAGGGUGGAAUUUACAUGACUCUCCACAUAUGGAUGGACUACACCUCCUAUUGUCCUCUUUCACCCCCCCCCCCCCUUUACACACACAAUUUCAAUUGUUUCAAGUUGAAUGAUGAAGGGAAUAUGUGGCAAAUGUAGUCCAGAUCCAUCAAGCCACAUAGGAGCCUUUGUAGCUCAAACACACACACACACACACACACACACAUACAUCUCACAGAUAACCUCUAGCCCUUUACAUGUUCUUGGCAGCAAGUCCCAUAUGACUUGCUAACUAGUUGUGUUGGUCAAGGGUGAUGAGAGUUCUAGUCCAGCCACACAUUUGACACCCUCUUUUUGUUGUUUCAACCUAGGAUUUUUGCAGCUUUGGCAUACAUACUUACACGGGUGGACAAGUUGAGGUUGGAGGGAGAUCUAAACUAGGAUAGGGUGCAUUAGCUUGCUACUGGUGACUUCCAUCUGCUCCAGGUUUUACUUUGAACUUUAAAGAAGUGAUCUAAGGGAUCUGUAGAAAAGGAUACUACACUUUUCACAUUCCAACUAUAUCCCAUAGUAGAUUCACCACCUCACAUACAUACCAGACCAUUGAGGAUUUCCCCCCAUCAUUUGUGUAUGAGUCCAUUUUAAGUAUUAUAACAGGGGUCCCCAAACUAAGGCCCGGGGGCCGGAUGCGGCCCUCCAAGGUCAUUUACCUGGCCCCCGCCCUCAGUUUUAUAAUAUAAUAUUUUAUAUCAGUUUUAAUAAUAUAAUAUAUUGUGUAUACAUAUAAUAUUGAUAAUAAUCUUAUUAUUAUCUUGCAAUAUAAUAAUUAAUUAUAUGGUAUAUAUUACAUAUUAUAUAAUAGUAUAGUGGUAUAGUUCAAUAUCUAUCUAUCUAUAUAUAUAUAUAAAAGUGUGAUGGCAUCAGGGCAGCGGACAAAACAACAGAACUACAGGCCCCUCAACCUCGAAAUUUGACAACACAACCCAUCAUCCAUGCCUCUAGGUUGAUACAACAAAAAGAAAAGAAAAAUAAAGUUUUAACUACAGGGAGAGGAAUAAUAGUUUUUAUCCAAUUGCUGCCAGUUUGAAGGCUAAGCUCCGCCCACUUGGUCUCCUAGCAACCUACUCAGCCCAGGGGACAGGCACAGUUAGGCCUCACUUAGGCCUCUUCCACAGAUUAUCAGAUUUUAACUGGAUUAUAUGGCAGUGUAGACUCAAGGCCCUUCCACACAGCUAUAUAACCCAUUUAUAAUCUCAUAUUAUCUGCUUUGAACUGGAUUAUCUUGAGUCCACACUGCCAUAUAAUCCACUUCAGUGUGCAUACUAAACAUAAAGACAACCAUACAACAGACAUUCAAUACCACCACUACCUCAACAAUUUCUCACCAACACCACCAGACAACGCCACAGCAACGCAUGGCCGGGCACAGCUAGUAGUAAUAUAUAAUGCUAAUAUUGUGUUAUGCUAAUAAUAUAAUAUAUUGUAUGUACAUACAGCUGCUCUGAGUCCCCUUCGGGGUGGGAUAUAAAUGUAGUAAAUAAAUGCAGUAAAUAAAUAAUUAAUUUUAGACUUAGGCUCGGCCAAAGUCUGACAUGACUUGAAGGCACACAACAACAACAACAACAAUCCCAAUUAACUUGACUAUCUCAUUGGCCAGAAGCAGGCCCACACUUUUCAUUGAAAUCCUAAUAGAUUUAUGUUGGUUAAAAUUGUUUUCAUUUUUAAAUAUUGUAUUCUUUCAUUGUUGUUGUUUUUGCACUACAAAUAAGACAUGUGCAGUAUGCAUAGGAAUUUGUUUGUAUUUUUUUUUCAAAUGAUAAUCCGGCCCCUCAACAGUCUGAAGGAUUGUGGACCGGCCCUCUGCUUUAAAAGUUUGGGGACCCCUGUAUUAUAACAAUAGUCAAUGUGUAGAAUCAUGGAUCUGGAUACUAUGUCUCAGGCACUGAACUGAAAUGUCUUGAGUUAAUUUCUUUCCAAAGGUCUCUGAGGAAGGAAUCGAAUCUUAGAGUGAGGAACAUAUUCAGGCUUCAGGAUUACUUGAGCUAUUCACUCCAUCUGUCAUCAAAUUACUGUCAAUCAGUUGUCAGUCCCUGCCAUGGGAUACAUUGGGCAAAAACAAAGCCUGAAACAGUUUCUUAAAAUAGAGAAACUGGAAACUGGAUCUUCUCACAUAGACACUCUCAGGCUGAAACUAUAGGGGGGAGAGCAUUGACCCCUCAUAAGAAUUCUGUCACUCCCAAAUGAAUUUUUCAUUCAUUCCCCAAAUUUCUGGCAAGAUUACAAGAUAAAACUUCAGAAUCAUCUUUAGAAACACAGUUUAGAUGUCCAGAGAACAAGGUCAGUUAUGAAUGAAGGGAAUGCAAAAACAGCAAACAGAAGCAUUAAAUGUGUACAUUAUUUUUUAUUAUUGUUGAUAUCUUACCGUCAAUGUACGUGGUGCCUUACAAAUCAAACAACCAAACACUGUGGGUCGGCCAAAGCUGUACAAUCAAAAAUAUAUGUGUAUACACAUACACAGAAAGGAGGAAGAAAUAUAAAAAUAUAAUAUUUCACUACACAAUUGUAAAACAAAUGAUUCAACAAAUAACAAAUGGUCUUCAAUAUUUCACUUUCUGGGAUACUAGACAUUUGGGGCUGAAGGAGUUGUCUUUGAAGGGCAGAUGUCUUAUUUGAAAUAGCAAUGCCUUUGUUUUGUUUAGCCCCAGUCCCCAAUAGCUAUAUUCUUUGUCAUUUUUCCUUCUCUCUUUUUUUUGAAGGGGGCAGAAGGGUAACAAAAGUAGAUUUACUUAGAGGACCUUUUACCAUUGCCUCCCUCUUAGGUCUCUUGAGAGCGAUUUGCUCAAGGUCGCACAGUAGAUUUCAGUGGCUGAGCAGAAAUGUGAGCCCUGGCCUCAUAAAAUCUCAAUCCAACACUCAAAACCACUAUACCAUGCUAGCUGCCUUUGACAACUGAAGUCUCAAAUAAUAACAUUUUGGUCCACCCUGGGCAAUCACAUUUUUAUUCAGAGCUCCAGAAAACCCUGCGUUCUAUUUUACUGUGUGAAUGUCUCAUUGACCUUUAUUAGGGUGAUAUAUUGCCAUGGUUAUGCAAGCGCAACUUCUUUGGAUGGGGAAAGGAGUUUCGUAUGUGGAUCAAAGGAAGAGUAGGUCCCUGAGGGAAUUAUCAGACAUCUUCCCAUCAGAGCUGUAGAAAUUAUCAACUUCCUCUGUUACAGUGAAGAAAUUUAGUUUCCUGGUGCUGUUAUGCUUCACAGACAUGACUGGAGCUGGCUUUGCCUCUAAAAUACAGCAUCCCGGAAUGCCUUUAAGGAAAGACAUUUUUCACACAGUGCCACUGUGAACAUACUGAUCCUUGAAGAAUGGAUGAGCUCCCUAUAUAUUCUUUGAUAAAAUGACAUCUCUAAAAGGCUUUGCAUUCAACACAUACAAUAGAAGGAAGAACAGUGCAACUUGUAAUGCCAAUUUGAAAAUAAUUAUUGUAAUAAUAAAAUAGACAAAGACCAUAUUGUCUCCAUAGCUCUAGAACUGGGAAACUUAGAAUACCUCCCAAAAGAAUAAUAGCUGUUCCUGAAAGCCCCAAAGAGCAAGGUCAUAUGUCAUACCUUUUUAAGCUUUUUUUUUUUUUUAAGUUUUAGAAAACAAAUUUGAAGGGGCAGGACUGUACCCUGUAGGAAUGAGACUCCUUCUACACUGUCAAAUAAAAUCCAGAUUAUCUGCUUUGAACUGGAUUAUAUGGCAGUGUAGACUCAGAUAAUCCAGUUCAAAACAGAUGAUUUGAAUUAUCUGCUUUGAAAAUUUGAAUUUUAUGGCAGUGUAGAAGGGGCUGAGACAAAUUUGUUGAGAUUAUGAAGAGAAAACUCGAUAUGGUGCCACAUGCAUAUAUAAGUGAUAGAAAUUUAAUCCUCCCCAUCAGACAAAAACGUCGAGAUUUCAGAAGAGGUAGUGUAAUUUAUGUGUUAUUUAUUUAUUUAAUCGUGUCUGAAGUGGACUGAGGGUACAGUUGUAACUUGGCAUUAUACUAAAUGUCCUUUGACCAGUAGCUGGCCACUUGAAAUGCCUUUGGUGUUGCUAUAAGAAGGUCCUCCAUUGUGCAUGUGGCAGGGCUCAGGCUGCAUUGUAAUAGGUGGUCUGUGGUUUGCUCUUCUCCACACUCACAUGUUGUGGACUCCACUCUGUAGCCCCAUUUCUUAAAGUUGAUUCUGCAUCUCGUGGUGCUAGAGCGCAGUUUGUUCAGUGCCUUCCAAGUCGCCCAGUCUUCUGUGUGCUCAGGAGGGAGUCUCUCAUUCGGUAUCAGUCAUGGGUUGAGGUUCCAGGUUUUAGCCUGCCACUUCUGGACUCUCGCUUGCUGAGAUGUUCCUGUGAGUAUGUUUGUAGAUCUUAGAAAACUAUUUCUUGAUUUAAGACAAUGGCAUACUGGCUGAUAUCUGAACAUGGGAUGGGCUGGAGAUGUCACUGCCUUGUUCUUUUCAUUGCUAGCUGCUACUUCCCAGUGGAUGGGAGGUGGUGCAAUGGCAGCUAAACAGUAUAAUUUCUCCAGUGGUAUAGAGAGUAUACAUCUGUGAUAAUGUGGCAUGUCUCAUUAAGAGCCACAUCCACUAUUUUAACGUGGUGAGAUGCAUUCCACACUGGACAUGCAUAUUCAGCAGCAGAGUAGCAAAUAAUUAUGAAUAUAGUUAAUAAGUAGCCAUACUCUGCUGGAGAGAAUAUUCUAUUUCAAAUGAACAACAAUAGCUCUGUCUGGGCAAGAGACAGGGAUCCUGUCAGGAAGGGGUUACUCUUCCUUUUCACUAUUAUCUCAAUUAAACUUCCCCCUGAAUUUGUACUCCUCAAAGGAAGUAUUGUUCAUCUCUUCCUAGGGUGAAAAGCAUCUGUUAGUCUGUGGCAUGGCAGGGGUGCAAGCAGCAGCCACAUUCUUCCCCUUUUGCCCCAUAACAAAGUGGGGGGAGGACCCUUAACACAUUAAACACAAACAUGCAUUAAAUCCAGGUGUUUUAUUUUACCUGACAAUUUUAAAAAGAAAGAAAAUUCUUUACCAUUGCACAUGGGAAAGACUCUAAAGCCACAUAUAACUCAUGAUCAUAUUACUAGGCUAGCAUCAUCCACCAGAUCCUGAGAUUCCCAUUACAAGUCCCAGAAUUUUUGGCAGCUGCACAAACCCAAUUCUAAAAUACAGCAGCCUGAAACCCUUUCCAUAUGGUAAGAACAUCAAAUAAUUUAAGUUGAAGCUUGGUACAAGAAACAACUUGUUAACGAUUUUAGGAUUAAAGUGGAAUGGAAAUCCUCCUGAACAGAGAUCUAUUGCCUGUGUGAAGAAUUUUGAUAUAUAUUGUUUUCAUGUUAUAAGGUUAGAGUUUGACCAAAAUCACAUAUUCUGGGAGUUAUAAUGCCCCAAAUCCAAUUGCAGCUCCCAGUCACCAUGCUGCCUGAAAAUGUCGGGGAGUUGCAGUCCAAAACAUAACUUUGUCAAGCUCUGUGCAAAAUAUAUUUGGCCGUUUAGAAUUUGUUGCUUAAAGGCCUGAUUCUUACACUCACUAUGCAGGAGUGCUGGACUCAUUGCUACUGGGCUGCAAUAGCAAUUACUUACUACAUUGGUUUGCCAUUAAUAAAGCUCACCCUAUAGUGGUGAUUUGUUGGCUUUUGAUAUGGGGAGACUUAGAAUUGCAGCCAGCUGCAGCUUAGAGCAAAAUUCCUAGUUGCCAUUAGGAACCACUCCACCAGCCAAGAUCUGGCCCAUUACAAUUGGCUGUCUAAGAUAAAACAAGAAAUUGCAUCUCUGUCCCUGAGUGUUUGAAGCUCCCAAUUCCCAGAACUGAAAGCUGCUUUUCUUGCGGCAUAGAUCCCCUCUUUAUUAUGUCUUCUCCUUCAUUUAUUGUUUUCACUAAAAUGAGAUCUCUAACUGCUGCUAUUUAAAAGAGGUUUCUUAUUUGGCCUCAGUGAACCAAUGUAUGUGCCCUUUUCUCAUAUUCAAGGGCACAUACAUGAGUUCUCUGAAGUCAAAUGAAUUAUCCCCAUUAACACCCUUUUAAUGAUUUUUAUGAGGGAUUGAAAGGACACAUUUGACUUCCAUGUAAUGAUCCUCUGAGGCUCACAAUUGCUAAGGUAGGUGAGGAGUUCAGAACCCCUCUCCUGCAUCCACUCCCAAACCCAGUUUCUAUGUCUCUGCAUGAAGUGGGAAUUCUACUCCACAGGAGUUAAAAGAACAUUUCACACUCUGCUGGAGAAGGUUUUUUAUAAAAGGCAGCAUAGGAAAAAAACAACAUGCAAUACAUUUGCUGUAUUGCUCAAGAUGUUAUUGGAAGCUUAUGCACAUACAAACACACUUCUCCUUAUCUGGAAAAUAAACCACUUCCUCAUGUUGACAAUAAAAACUGGCAGACCUCACAAAGAAAGUUACUAAAAAUCAACUGUUCACAUGACAGAAACUUGUACAAGGUGCCAAGCAAUCUGUUCAUAUCCAAAUUUACUCAGAAUUUCCAUUGUUUUCCAUUACAUUUAUUUCCAGUAAAAAAAUUUAUAAGAAAACAAUAUUUGGUAAAUUGUGCUUCUUAGUUAUAAACAUUAUCACACUAACCUUUUGUCUUGUCCCAAUUGUAUCCUUUAAGCAAACAAGAACAUAUUGUUACUAGAAUAAUCACUUUCACAAUAGCACACACUUACGCAAUUGCUACAAUAAUGGUGGCACUUUGUUGAUGCAAAUCCCUGCAAUCAAUCUGCUGUACAGCCUUGCUUCAUACCAAAGUAUUUUGAACACAAAACAUGUUUUUUCCUCAUAUUCCUUUUCGGGGAAGGGGAAGGGGGGAAAGGAAUAAUAAUAAUAAUAAUAAUAAUAAUAAUAAUAAUAAUAAUAAUAACUGGGUGCCGUGCCAAAAGAUCUCAGCUGGCAUUUAGAAACAAUAAACAUUGACAAAAUUAUGAUCUGCCAACUGCAAAAGGCCACCCUACUGGGAUCUGUGCGCAUCAUCCGAAAAUACAUCACACAGUCCAAGACACUUGGGAAGUGUUCGACUUGUGAUUUUGUGAAACAAAAUCCAGCAUAUCUGUCUUGUUUGCUGUGUCAUACAAUAAUAAUCAUAAUAAUAAUAAACCAGUACAGGUGGUCCCGAUGGUAAUCAGCACACUGGGUGCCGUACCAAAAGCUCUCAGCCAGCACUUGGAAACAAUAAACAUUGACAAAAUUACGAUCUGUCAACUGCAAAAGGACACCUUACUGGGAUCUGCAUACAUCAUCCAAAAAUACAUCACACAGUCCUAAACACUUGGGAAGUGUUCAACCUGUGAUUUUGUGAUAUGAAAUCCAGAAUAUAUAUCUCGUUUGCUGUGUCAUACUAUGUCUUUGUGUCAGUAAUAAUAAUAAUAAUAAUAAUGAAAUAAAACAUAUAAGUAGAUAAAAGGUGUGUAGUAGAGAAAUAUGUGGUAAAGUUAUAAUGGAAAAGUUAAAAACGGAUAAGAAAUAUGAUUAAAAAUAUGUUUGAUUUUUUCUUUUACUGUUGGCUUGUAUACAAUAUGGCAUACUCCUUUGUCUAAGAUAUUGUAAAAAGAGCAAAUAAUGUAUACUUAUACAUUUUGAUUGAUAAAUCUAUAAAUAAAAAUUAUAUUAAAAAGAUUCACUGAUCUUUUUUCCCUCCAUCAAUGAAAAGGGAUGAUCCAAUUAUAACGGAAGCUCAGUGUGACUACUGGAUAGAUAUGAUGUUGUACAGCAAGCCCUAUUCAUAGACACUUUUAUCCUGCUGUAGUUGUGCUACAUCAGCCUCAUGUGAUAGUCCUACAUAUUCCCUUUGGUCAUUUUUGUAUCUGAUGUCCACAAAUACCCCGCUCCCCAAAAAGAGUUAAUAGUGAUUAAAUGGUCCUUGAAAACCAUUUUCAAAGCUUGUAAUCACAGUGGGUCUCUGAAAAGGUAGAUUGGCUCCAAGACUAUUGAAGAUGCCUUUUUGCAUGGGGCUGAGUGUUGAGCUUGUUCAGUGGCCACAAAAUGUUGUCUUUUUUGGGGGGAUGAGAGUGGUAUGUAGAAAUAUUAUUUUUAAAGGCUCAACUAGCUGCAACAUUUUUUUCCAGAUACUAUUUGAAUCCUGAUAUGAUUUGAAGCUUUUCACCAUGUUUUACACAUGAGAAGUAUAUCCAUGAUGCAUACAUCACUUUUAUAGCUCUUUAACUGCUAUUGCAAUCCAUCCUAUGGAAUGCUCAGUUUUAUAGUUUAAUGAUAUAUGUAGAACUCUCAGCUAAAAGCCUUUAAUGCAGUGGUUCUCAACCUGUGGGUCCCCAGAUGUUUUGGCCUUCAACUCCCAGAAAUCCUAAUAGCUGAUAGACUGACUGGAAUUUCUGGGAGUUGUAGGCCAAAACAUCUGGGGACCCACAGGUUGAGAACCACUGCUUUAAUGGAAUAGUUCUCAAACACUGGUCCUCCAGAUAUCUCAAACUUCAGGUCCCAGAAUUCCUGAUCAUUGGCCGUGUUGGCUGAAGCAUGGGAACUGAGUUUGAGAUUGAAAACUACUGCUUAUACAGGUCCCCAGUGUUUCUAAUUUGUAAAUUAGACUUGAAACUGGGCUGUUAAAGGUGGAAGCUCUGAUCAGUCUUCAGUCUAUCAAAAAGUGGUUGUCACCAAGGCUUUUUCUGCCUUUUUCUUCAUGACAAUUCCUAGUUCAGCUGGCUCAGGGCAGUCUUAUGAGUCCUACAACAGAUGGAUUUUCCACUCAAUCUCUUUUUGCUAUGCGGGAUGAUAGGACUCACAAUGAAGUCCUCCAUUUGAUUUGGGUGGCCUGUAGCCUAUAUAGAAUAUAAAAAUCACCAUGAGUAGGGUAGGAAGACAAUGAAUAGGGAAAGAGUCCUGGCAGAGGAACACUAGGAGUGUCUCCAUUAGAAUUGCCUAGCCGUGCUGUAAUUCCUCACCCUUUCCUAAUUUCUAUCAAUGUUAUCUGCAAGAAAGGGUUCAAUCAAAGUGAUGAAAUAGGGACAGACCAAAUUUCCAGAGCUUUGGCCUGCUUGUCCUGUUAGCUUUUUUCUAAACAAAUUAAUAAAUCCAAAAUUUACAUUUCCUCAGAAGCUGUAAUUUGAAGACACUUGCUUUUUCUUUUAGUUGGUUAGUAAAUGUUUUUAUUUGAUCAUUCAAAAUUUGUUGAUUUUGGCAAAAUGAUAAACAGUCUUUUAAAAAAAGAUGGCUUCUUGAUAAAUUAAUCAAAUCCUUGUGAAUUCCUUGCUUCCUUCCUCUCCUCUAAUUGGGGUUUUUGCUGUCUGAGUAAUCAAUUAGGCCCUGUGUUUAUUCACCCACAACAAUUAUUCUCUCUACAUUAGGGAAUGAAAUAAACACACUUCUCUAAUUUCUCUUUACAAAGGGAGCAUUUCCAUAGAGGUCAGUCAAAGCUAUUCAUUAACCAGUCUUUCAGUAAACACAUUGUGUCAUUCAAAUAAUAAUGAUCCAUAAAGGAAAUUGGAGCUGGUCCAAAUAAACUGUUUAACACUGUAACAUUCAACAUCUUAACAACUUACUUAAAACACAGCAGCAGAGAUUGCAGACAAAUUCCAAGAUAUUAACAUAUUAACACAGUGGCAUAUUGUAUAAUAUCCAUAUUUUCUUUUAAUGUAUUAAAUAUUAGGAGUUCUGAAAGAGUAGGACUUGGUGCUGAUUUUCUAAUAAUAAGCAAAGUCUGUGCAGGUUGUGAGGAAUAAAGAGAGUGACUUUCUUCUGACUGUCAGUUAUACUUGUGUUGGCGCUGGGUUGUUUACUUGCGAACCACAAACUGAAAUAAAAUGUAUAGCUUUGUUUAUGUGCAGGGCGAACCAUCAGUGUAGUGCUGUUUCUUAGGAUGUUAAAUUGUUCUAGUAAACAGAAUACAUUUUGCAACAAGGCUCACAAUCUCAAAGAGUGAAGCAUAUAGAAAGAUCGGGUAUGAAAUUGAUCAUUCUUUGUGUGAGGGAUUAAAGAUAGAAACACCCAUUGGUUUGAGUUGGAUUCAGCUUGCUAUGCUGUCUGAUGAGUUUGGGAAGUGGCAGUCCAAAGACAAUGUUUUCAAGCUCUGCCACAAACCAGUGUAUCAUGCAUGUCUCUUCUUCACCCCACUUUGCAGUACCCUCACUUUAGAAAAGAAGAGUGAAACUCACCCAGUGAGUUUCAUGGAUCUGUGAGACAAAGUACUUGAACCAAUGUUAACCACUGACACACAUUGCAGGUGCUUUCAUAUUACCAAUGAUAGUGCUCUGGUUCUGUGUUAACUACACUGUAUGAAUCCUGGGGUUUAUACAGUGCUUUUCAAAAUGAUGCUAUAUCUCUGCAGUCACAAACUGCCCAAAUAAUUAUGACUGCUAGAUGCUUCUCUCAGUGCACAAACAGCUCCCAGCCUCAGUCAUUCGCAAGAUGGUGCCCUGCAACAUAAGACCUAAUGAGAUAUUCUGCAUUUGUAGAGUUAAUUUUUAUGUUUGCUUCUGGCUCAAAAUGGUUAGUAAAACUUGAUAACUCAUUAAACUGUUUCUAACUUUUUGUAUAAUUGUAGCAUGAUGCCAUACUGCUUUGAAAUUGGGCCCAUCAUUUUGAAAUACCAUUUACUUUGGUGUAUUGAUUUGCAGACCCGGCUGCUGCUCAAUUUAGAGUCAAAAUAUACACUGUCAUAAGAGUAAGCCACCAUGAAUACAAGGGAUAUUUUAAUCAAAAAUAAUGUACUUCUAUGGAAACAGUCUACAAAAAAAGAAUAGACAGCAAUUUUAAUGUCACCCUCUCUGAUGAUGUCACCCAGUUGUACUGUUGUAAUUAAUGCUAAAAUGUGCAGACUUUGAAAAUAAAAAUCAUCAUAGAGUUGGAAGAGACAUCAUGGGCCAUCCAGUCCAAUCCCCUGCCAAGAAACAGGAAAAUUGCAUUCAAAGCACCUUUGUCACCUGAUUGUUGAAAUGUUGCAUUGUGCCGAAAGGACAGAAAACUAUGAAUGAACAAACUGUAUCUCAGCCUGCACCAUGAAUUUUGCUCAAAGAAGAUUUAAAGUUAUUAUCCUUUUUUUUUUU
Long non-coding RNA from Anolis carolinensis (green anole), 26083 nucleotides. RefSeq lists it as uncharacterized. The transcript is spliced from 4 exons. NCBI's taxonomy places the organism in Eukaryota, Metazoa, Chordata, Lepidosauria, Squamata, Anolidae. The record is from RefSeq and is a predicted model, not a curated record.